CUGAGCCUUCACCUUUGCAAGCUUGUUGAUUUCCUCUGGAUGAUCAACACAGUACUGCAUCUGCUCCUUUAUUUUGGGCCCAAACUCCUUGUUCAAGCUGUUAGCAACAGCUGUAGCAGCUUUGCCUCCACCAUAUUUCUUGGUAAAAUCAUCCUUAACUCUCUCCAGAAAUGCGAUUGGGACCUGUCUGCCAACAGACUCCACAGCUACAACACAGUAUGUGAAGCCGUCAUCGACGAGGUAGUUAAAAGUAUGUCCAUCACAGUUAUAGGUGAACUUGUUGUUGGAAGCAGGGAGUUUCUGAAGGCACUGCGAUGCAAUACUGGUAAAAUUUCCAGUGAACUCAGUAUACUCAGCGAGAAUCACCGUUCCUCGCGCAACGAAGCUGUAGAUCAACGAUUGUUGCCCCAUUUUUCCUCUCUCUUCUCACACACUCGAGAAGAGACAAAAACCCUAGCUAUUUUGAAUUGCAGAGAGCAAA
This 481-nucleotide unclassified non-coding RNA is filed under the name Hevea brasiliensis (rubber tree). The record is from RNAcentral. Lineage: Eukaryota; Viridiplantae; Streptophyta; Magnoliopsida; Malpighiales; Euphorbiaceae.